This 2701-nucleotide long non-coding RNA is filed under the name Acanthaster planci (crown-of-thorns starfish). RNAcentral's name for it is "uncharacterized LOC110982577, transcript variant X2". The record is from RNAcentral. Lineage: Eukaryota; Metazoa; Echinodermata; Asteroidea; Valvatida; Acanthasteridae.
AGUGGGGAUGUUUUGAGAUGUGUUUUGUACACGUGUAAUGCAGGGCAAACUGUGAUUAUUUUGUACACAAAAGUGAGUGUAGACUUUAACUGAAAGCUUAACAUUUAUGUUUUUGUAAAAUCUUUGUUCUUAUUUGUGCCUUAUUUCAAUGAAUCAAAUGCAGGCUUUACUUCAAAUUUCAAAAAAAUUGAGAAUGGAACUGCAUGCAAAAAGACUAUUUAAGAAAAACGAGUUUCCAAGUAAACAGCGCUCUCACUCAUGUAGUCAUUCCCCUACCAAUAAUAAACCUUUUGUUGUUUUGCAAUGCAUUAUGGGUUUGGAUGACAAGCAAGCAAUACAUUUUAUGCACAACCCUAUGAGUGAAGUGUACAUGCCUGCAAAACAAUCUGUUACCAUUUUAUUUCAUACUCCAGUUCAAGUCAUCUUCUUCUCACAGUGUUGCAUUACAGAUUUGGGAUGAAGAUAGUCACAAACCUUGAAGUAUCACAUGGCAGAAAAGAAAAAUUCAGGGAAUCUCUUCAAUAAUACUAUCUGGUCAUAGACCACGCCUUGACUGAGAUCAACUUGCAGAAUGGUGCCGAUGUGUAACACAAUCAUGGCAUCAUCUUUAACGGAGGAUGAUAUUCCAGGUGCAAAGUUUGAAACAGACCCUUUGUCAGCAACAGUGCUGCAGCUAAAGAGAUGGUUGGCAUGCAGAAGAGGCGCUUCAACUUCUGGAGUUAAAUCAGAACUUGUACAGAGAGUAUGCAAUUAUAUCAGUGGAGGUCUGUCAGAGACAUUGUUGAUUGAUCCGGAAAACACCCAGCAUGCGGUGGACAGGGAGAGAGGGAGGACAGUGUCUGCUGUUACAUGUACCCCUACAAGUUUCCAGCAACCUCCUAAAGACGGCUGGACAAGCAACUUAUCCCAUGCACGCAUUGAUGCUGGAUUCCACCUGUGCACAUAAUGUGCAUCUGGGUAACGAACAUCCAUCUCAUUCAGCCCAAUUUUCCUUUUUUUUAUUAUGAGGGCACUUGUUGGCAAGUGGAUAGAAGCAGAGAUGGCAAUGAGAGUGGAAGGAACAUGUGCUGUCUGUCAAGGAGAAGUCUGUCUUCUGCAGUGACUGUAAGUUGUCUUUUUAAGCAUUAAGGAUGACGUUGAUACUGUCAAUUCUGCCCUCAGGAUUGCAUGCAAUUUGUCUUUUCAGCUGUUUAAACGUGAUGCGGGAGAGAUAAAUAUAGUCAUUAAGGGGCUAGCAAGUUACUGUCAUGUUUGCAGUGAUUCCUUGGUGGUUUUGCAUUUUUGCCAUGCCUUGAAUACUCAACUUUCUGUUCUUCAUGAACAUCAGUAUGGAGGCUGUGGAGACCAUCAGAGAGCAGUUCUGACAGUAAGAUUUGAAACUUUGCAUGACGGAGGCUAGGGUGAGAGAGGGUUUGUGGGUACACCACAUGGAAUCAAUGUCUUCUAUAGGAGUGGGGGGUUCUGACAAGAACCAGUGAGUGGGAACUCCUCAGGGGAGACAACCAGAGCUUCCUGGUGGAAACAUCAAGUUCACACUCACAAGUUCUCAGAACCACCGUUCUUAUAGGAGAAAUUGAUUCGACAAAUGGUGUUCCAACAAACCUUCUCUCUGCCAGAACCACCGUUCUUGUAGAAGAGAUUGAUUCUACACAUGGCGUACCUGCAAACCUUCUCUGUCAGAACCACCGUUCUUAUACCGGACUCAAACAACACCAAGCCCAUGGCAGGAAGGGAGAGUAUGAGAAGUCAGCGAUAGUCAAGCAUUUCCACUCUGAAGACCACCGCAUCAACUGGGACCAAGCCCAUCUCAUCACCAGCAUCGAGCACUGGUACCCAAGAUGCAUCAGAGAAACCUUGGAGAUCCUCAAGCAAGACACCAUUCCCCAAGACAUCGGCUUCUCCAUCAGUGACAUCCAGCAACCCCUGCUGACCUCCCAGUCCAAUGGGUCCUCUAUACCCUAGGACACCCGCCUAUGGGUCUCCUAUACCCCCCGGCCACCUCACCCCACCCCAACCACUGCCCAACUGACACGCCUCACUGACCAGCUGGACCCCUUCCGCAUGAUGGUGCCCAGCUGGCUCCACCACUAGCAUCCUCGUCACAUUCCACUGCAUCCUGUCACCUUAUAUAAACAGCUUCCUCAUCAGCAUCUCUUCAGUCUCCUGACGACGGACUGAGCACACAGCCUGAAACAGUACAAGAUGUCCCAUAGGUCUACCUUGAUGGAGCUGAUCCAAUUCACCUCUUCCCUUUUGUGACCACCCGGAUGUUAACCUCUGUGACGUCAAGGAGCUCCAUCCAAAGUCAGUUAAGUCAAGCCCCAGCACUGAUGCCUGACUGUAGUGUGACAUGACUCGUCUACCUCUCUGCCUUCAGUACUAGUGAAUGUCCUGUCGCUGACACCAUGCAGCACCUGUUGGAAUCACAACACAUCACUGAAAUGCGGUGACAUUUUCACUUUUACUUACCGGCGGAUAUGGAAAACUUUCCAAAGGGGCAUUGAAGUCUGAGAUUUCAUACGCAGAUCAGUCCAUUGACGAGAUGUUCCAAACCAUCCAUCAUUCAGGUGAUGUUACUUAUACUAUUGUUAACCAAAGUUGUCACUCCAACUUGUCCUAAGUAAUUAGUUAUUAAAUAGUAGUUAUUAAAUUAACAUCUCCCCAACGCAAAAAUACAUCUUGAAAAUAGUUCGCGGUACCC